CAGCCAUGCCGCGUGUGUGAAGAAGGUCUUCGGAUUGUAAAGCACUUUAAGUUGGGAGGAAGGGUAGUAACUUAAUACGUUGCUACUUUGACGUUACCGACAGAAUAAGCACCGGCUAACUUCGUGCCAGCAGCCGCGGUAAUAA
This 145-nucleotide ribosomal RNA is filed under the name uncultured bacterium. Its description in RNAcentral is "partial 16S ribosomal RNA". It matches the Rfam family "Bacterial small subunit ribosomal RNA", at positions 389 to 526 of the family's 1533-position model. The record is from RNAcentral.